This 423-nucleotide long non-coding RNA is filed under the name Anas platyrhynchos platyrhynchos (common mallard). Its description in RNAcentral is "lncRNA (ENSAPLG00000026027.1)". Lineage: Eukaryota; Metazoa; Chordata; Aves; Anseriformes; Anatidae. The record is from RNAcentral.
AUGCCAGAUCAAGUGAUGUUAAUUAAUCCUUCACUUUCCUUCUUACUGAGGCUUCUCUUUAAGGCUAUGAAGGGGGCAGAGACAGCAGGCAGGCUCCAGCUCUUGGCAUCUAAUUUGAGCUUGAAUGAAACUGAGAAAGACUUUUACUCUCCUCAAUCCCAUCUGGUGUUAUUACUGUGGGAAACUGCCAGUCUUUGUUACAAAAAUUGGACCUGCAAAGACUGUGUCCUCUCGUGCAUGGUCUCACUGAAAUCAAAGGAGAGUAAAGAGUACAGGACUUACAGUAGGGCGAGUUUCUGUUCCUGGAAAUAUGCAUCCAACUGCACUCAGCAAACAUCUGUAGCACAUGGAUUUAGCCCAUUCUUCAGUCUGCAAUGCAUGAAGAUUCCAACUCCUGGGGAUUUGUUUCAUCAGGUCUCCUGA